AUAGAGAAGCUCACUGCAGAUAAUAUUCAAAUUUACUUUAUUUUGGCAUCCUUUCAAAGAAGCUGCAAGUACAAUAUAAACAGCUGGACGGUGAGGGCAAAAUACCAGUCUGAUCUUCCUCCAGAUGUAAUUUCACUGCUGUUUGAACGCCAGAACGCUGGAUUUUCUCAAGUUAAUCAAGGAUCUCCAAAGCAGGCACCUGAGCCAGAAUUUCAUUUCCUGCUUUAACUGCUAAGAGUCACUGCCAGAUGGAAAGAGAUAGAAAAAGCCAACGGGACAGAAAAAUUUUGCUGCGCUCCAGCCUUUGCAUUUCAGCCAACACAGGGAACUUCUGCAGAGUCCAAAUGCACUAAAGUUGGAGUUGAUAUAUCUUAGCCUGUUGGCCUGUGGAGUUGAUUGCUGACUUGCUUUUCCUGACUUUCCUGCUGCAAGGGUCUCCAAAUGGCAUUGUUACUCUAAAGUGCUGUUAAAAGGAGUAACGACCGUGACUCCCUCCUCAUUACGUUUCUAUACAGGGAGCUGGGUUUUUCAUGUAACUGCAAGAGAAAUGCCGGAGGGAGACUUCAGGAGUUGCUGGCUGUGUAUUCUACUGGCAGCAGACAGGAAGGAUCGGGAUAAUUCCUGCACUUUUGAUGGGUUGUGCUAUCUCCAGAUAUUGCUGAAUCAUUGAGGCCAUAGAACUUCCACCUGGAACUCAUAAAAAUGUUGGGGGCAAGCAGCAUUUCGAUCUAAAAUUUACCACAUUGAAGCAUGUACUGAAUUAACUUCUUUUGUUUCCUUUUUAAAUGCUGCCAAGGAGAAAAUCGCUGAAUAUACCUACAGGGUUUUUUCUCACUACCACCCUCCAGUCUAUCUAGCACACAAAUGGAAGCUCUGGAUAUGUGGGUCUUGUGGAUAAAGAGAAUAAUCUUUUGCAGAUUUUCCCUGGUCUAUAAGUUGAUUUAUUACGUAGUAUGAAGUGAAAGACGGUUUCAUCUCUUACUGGGUAUUGACAUCAUCUUUACAUUGAACAGCAGAAGUAAAUCUGUGAAUGUCCAAGUGACACAGUCAGAUGAAUCUUGGAUACAAAUGUGGUGGGGGAAAAGUCCUGGGAAACAUCAGCGCUGCUGACAGGAUGUAAUAAAGACAGGUUGUACCUCUGUCAUUGAUUACGCCUAUGAGAAGGGUCCUCAGAGAAACUAUAGCAGAACAUCUCUGUUUUAAGUAUUUUAAGACCAGAGCUCUGUUAACAGCCAUGUUUGGCUGUAUUACUGUUAUUACAAGUUCUGCUGGGACAGCACAGCUGAUAAUAUUAAAAAUAAUAGUCAAAAAUAUUAAAAACCUACACAUCAGCCAAGCUAUUUUCUCCUUCCUCCCAUGCCCAGUGUGUUGAGCAAAUCACAGAUAUAGUUAACGAAAGAAAUCCUACCCAUUCUUCCUCCUAAUUCACACAGUUUAAACAUUCUGCAGAGCAGGGUGUUGGUAACAGAUGGAUUGUUACAGCGUGUGCCGUGAAUACCUAGGAAGGAUGGAAUGUAUUUUGUAUCAAUAUUGUGAUUGGGAAAUAAAAAUCCUUGAGAAGACUCA
Molecule: long non-coding RNA, 1566 nt
Organism: Hirundo rustica (Barn swallow)
Lineage: Eukaryota; Metazoa; Chordata; Aves; Passeriformes; Hirundinidae
Exons: 4
Source: RefSeq, a predicted model, not a curated record